UAUAAUAUAGUAUAUGAUGUACAUCAAUUUUUGAUAUUGAUAGAUUAAGUUUAAUUCUUAAUAUUAUAA
RNAcentral lists this transfer RNA (69 nucleotides) under Phymatostetha stalii. RNAcentral's name for it is "tRNA-Gln". The record is from RNAcentral. RNAcentral also lists the same sequence under 1 other name. Lineage: Eukaryota; Metazoa; Arthropoda; Insecta; Hemiptera; Cercopidae.